CCUACGGGGAGCAGCAGUGGGGAAUAUUGCACAAUGGGCGAAAGCCUGAUGCAGCGACGCCGCGUGAGGGAUGAAGGCCUUCGGGUUGUAAACCUCUUUCAGCAGGGAAGAAGCGCAAGUGACGGUACCUGCAGAAGAAGCGCCGGCUAACUACGUGCCAGCAGCCGCGGUAAUACGUAGGGCGCAAGCGUUGUCCGGAAUUAUUGGGCGUAAAGAGCUCGUAGGCGGUUUGUCGCGUCUGGUGUGAAAACUCGAGGCUCAACCUCGAGCUUGCAUCGGGUACGGGCAGACUAGAGUGCGGUAGGGGAGACUGGAAUUCCUGGUGUAGCGGUGGAAUGCGCAGAUAUCAGGAGGAACACCGAUGGCGAAGGCAGGUCUCUGGGCCGCAACUGACGCUGAGGAGCGAAAGCAUGGGGAGCGAACAGGAUUAGAUACCCUGGUAGUCCAUGCCGUAAACGUUGGGCACUAGGUGUGGGGCUCAUUCCACGAGUUCCGUGCCGCAGCAAACGCAUUAAGUGCUCCUCAUGGGAGACCCGACCG
Molecule: ribosomal RNA, 540 nt
Filed under: Cellulosimicrobium cellulans
Lineage: Bacteria; Bacillati; Actinomycetota; Actinomycetes; Micrococcales; Promicromonosporaceae
Description: bacterial SSU rRNA
Rfam family: Bacterial small subunit ribosomal RNA
Source: RNAcentral